UGAAGCGUGGACGCCAGUCUGCGUGGAGCCGACCUUGAAAUACCACCCUUUAAUGUUUGAUGUUCUAACGUGGAUCCGUAAUCCGGGUUGCGGACAGUGUCUGGUGGGUAGUUUGACUGGGGCGGUCUCCUCCUAAAGAGUAACGGAGGAGCACGAAGGUUGGCUAAUCCUGGUCGGACAUCAGGAGGUUAGUGCAAUGGCAUAAGCCAGCUUGACUGCGAGCGUGACGGCGCGAGCAGGUGCGAAAGCAGGUCAUAGUGAUCCGGUGGUUCUGAAUGGAAGGGCCAUCGCUCAACGGAUAAAAGGUACUCCGGGGAUAACAGGCUGAUACCGCCCAAGAGUUCAUAUCGACGGCGGUGUUUGGCACCUCGAUGUCGGCUCAUCACAUCCUGGGGCUGAAGUAGGUCCCAAGGGUAUGGCUGUUCGCCAUUUAAAGUGGUACGCGAGCUGGGUUUAGAACGUCGUGAGACAGUUCGGUCCCUAUCUGCCGUGGGCGCUGGAGAACUGAGGGGGGCUGCUCCUAGUACGAGAGGACCGGAGUGGACGCAUCACUGGUGUUCGGGUUGUCAUGCCAAUGGCACUGCCCGGUAGCUAAAUGCGGAAGAGAUAAGUGCUGAAAGCAUCUAAGCACGAAACUUGCCCCGA
Molecule: ribosomal RNA, 645 nt
Filed under: Salmonella enterica subsp. enterica serovar Infantis
Lineage: Bacteria; Pseudomonadati; Pseudomonadota; Gammaproteobacteria; Enterobacterales; Enterobacteriaceae
Also listed under: 3 other names
Description: partial 23S ribosomal RNA
Rfam family: Bacterial large subunit ribosomal RNA
Source: RNAcentral